Molecule: long non-coding RNA, 327 nt
Filed under: Mytilus galloprovincialis (Mediterranean mussel)
Lineage: Eukaryota; Metazoa; Mollusca; Bivalvia; Mytilida; Mytilidae
Source: RNAcentral
CAAAAUUUCAAAUACAAAAGGGGAAAUAACUCUCAUAUGGAAUCUCGAUACGGCUUCGGUCAAAAUAAAACAGAACAUCCUUAGGAUAUGACGAGCAAUUUGGAAAAAUAAAUUUGUCGGUUUCUUAUACGGUUGCGAAGCCUUAGCGAUAACAAGAAAAACAGUGUUCAGGGAGAUAACUCUUAUAUGGGAAAGUAUUCGGUUAAGCAGAGUUGGUUUCAAAAGCGUAUAAACUGUUCGAUAUCAUAUUCAAAAUAUCAAAUCGACAUCUUGCGAAACAAAAAAACAGCGAAGGAAAAAAAUUAGGCGGAAGAAAAAAAAAAAUAA